Molecule: ribosomal RNA, 250 nt
Filed under: uncultured bacterium
Lineage: Bacteria
Description: partial 16S ribosomal RNA
Rfam family: Bacterial small subunit ribosomal RNA
Source: RNAcentral
UACGUAGGGAGCAAGCGUUGUCCGGAUUUACUGGGUGUAAAGGGUGCGUAGGCGGCUCUGCAAGUCAGGUGUGAAAACUAUGGGCUUAACUCAUAGAUUGCACUUGAAACUGUGGAGCUUGAGUGAAGUAGAGGCAGGCGGAAUUCCCGGUGUAGCGGUGAAAUGCGUAGAGAUCGGGAGGAACACCAGUGGCGAAGGCGGCCUGCUGGGCUUUAACUGACGCUGAGGCACGAAAGCAUGGGUAGCAAAC